UUAGAUCAUUGUUGAGCUCAGUACUAAUUACUCUAUCAUUGCAAACCCGGUUACGGGAUGCUUUUGCUUCUGACCAAAUCAUUUCUUCAUUAUAGGCAGAUUCAUCGCACGGCCUCUGACUUCUCUUUGCCAAGCGGUUUAUCAAUGAAAAGUGGGCAGCCAAUGGAUGAUCCUCACAACUUCAGCAGAGAACCAAUACGCACAGAACUUAAUUUGAACAAACCAAACGAACAUGCUGAACCGAGUCAAGUGUCUCUCGGGAAUCAAUCUUCCCCGUUAAAGGAAAUCCCUGAACACAGGCCGAUUCAUCAAACGCAGUCAAUGGACGAUCCUAACAACUUCAGAAGAGAACCAAUACGCACAGAACUGAAGUAUGUGUUAAUGUGAAGCAAUGUGUUAAACA
Long non-coding RNA from Rhinichthys klamathensis goyatoka, 403 nucleotides. RefSeq lists it as uncharacterized. The record is from RefSeq and is a predicted model, not a curated record. Lineage: Eukaryota; Metazoa; Chordata; Actinopteri; Cypriniformes; Leuciscidae. The transcript is spliced from 3 exons.